Molecule: ribosomal RNA, 324 nt
Filed under: uncultured bacterium
Lineage: Bacteria
Description: bacterial SSU rRNA
Rfam family: Bacterial small subunit ribosomal RNA
Source: RNAcentral
GAUGAACGCUGGCGGCGUGCCUAAUACAUGCAAGUCGAACGAGGUGCUUUUGUAGCAAUACGAGAGUAUCCUAGUGGCGAACGGGUGAGUAACGCGUGGAUGACCUGCCCCAAAGUGUGGGAUAACAGUCCGAAAGGAUUGCUAAUACCUCAUGUGGUUAUCGGUUUUAGAAAGACGAUAACUAAAGACAGCAAUAGCGCUUUGGGUAGGGAGUCUGCGUCCCACUCAGCUAGUUGGUGAGGUAACGGACUCACCAAGGACGACGACGGGUAGGGGACCGUGAGAGGGUGGGCCCCCCACCAAUAGGAACGUAGAAACAACGGU